RNAcentral lists this ribosomal RNA (275 nucleotides) under uncultured bacterium. RNAcentral describes it as "partial 16S ribosomal RNA". It matches the Rfam family "Bacterial small subunit ribosomal RNA", at positions 338 to 612 of the family's 1533-position model. The record is from RNAcentral.
CCUACGGGUGGCUGCAGUGAGGAAUAUUGCGCAAUGGGCGAAAGCCUGACGCAGCCACGCCGCGUGGAGGAUGACACCCCUCUGGGGCGUAAACUCCUUUUGCAUGGGAAGAACAGCGCGGUCGCCGCGAACUGACGGUACCAUGCGAAUAAGCACCGGCUAACUCCGUGCCAGCAGCCGCGGUAAUACGGAGGGUGCAAGCGUUGUCCGGAUUUAUUGGGUGUAAAGGGUGUGCAGGCGGGACGGUAAGUCAGAGGUGAAAGCCCGCAGCUUAA